CCGGAGACUACUACUAUCAGGAUUCGGCUUAGCCAUGCGAGGUACUUGUAGCGAUACAAACCGUACUGCUCAGUAACACGUAGUCAACCUGCCCUACAGACGGGGAUAAUCCUGGGAAACUGGGCGUAAUACCCGAUAGGCGAUUAUUGCUGGAAGGCUUUUUCGCUUAAAGCAGCAAUGUGCUGUAGGAUGGGACUGCGACGGAUUAGCUUGUUGUUGAGGUAAAGACUGAAAUCGAAAGAUUUCUUUCGCCUAUUUGCUCAACAAGGCUGUAAUCCGUACGGGUCGUGAGAGCGAUUGCCCGGAGAUGGCUUCUGAGACAUGAAGCCAGGCCCUACGGGGCGCAGCAGGCGCGAAAACUUCGCAAUGCCUGAAAGGGUGACGAGGGAAUCCUGAGUGAUAUCGCAAUGCGGUAUCUUUUGUUUACUGUAAAUAGGUAGACGAAUAAGGGGUGGGUAAGACGGUUGCCAGCCGCCGCGGUAAUAAUAACCGCGCCCCAAGUUGUAGUCACGUUUAUUGGGCCUAAAGCGUCCGUAGCUGGUUUGAUAAGUCUUUGGUGAAAUCCAACAGCAAACUGUUGGAAUGGCUGGAGAUACUAUCAGACUCGAGACCGGGAGAGGUCAGGGGUAUUUCACGGGUAAGAGUAAAAUCUUUUAAUCCGUGAAGGACCACCUGUGGCGAAGGCGCCUGACUGGAACGGGUCUGACAGUGAGGGACGAAAGCGUGGGGAGCAACCGGGAUUAGAUACCCCGUUAGUCCACGCUGUAAACGAUGCCCAUUUGGUGUCACACAAUCUUCGAGAUUCUGUGGUGCCGUAGCGAAGGUGUUAAAUGGGCCGCCUGGGGAGUACGACCGCAAGGUUGAAACUUAAGGGAAUUGGCGGGGGAGCACUACCAGGGGUGGAGGCUGGCGGUUUAAUUGGAUUCAACGCCAGGACCUUACCCAUGAAGCAGCAGAAUGAGGGUCACUCUAAAGGGGUUACCUGACAAGCUGAGAAGUGCUGCAUGGCCGUCGUCAGUUCGUGCUGUGAAGUGUCGUGUUAAGUCACGAAACGAACGAGACCCUUGCCGUUAGUUGCUACUAUCCUCCCGGAGGGUAGGCACUCUAGCGGGACCGCUGUUGCUAAAACAGAGGAAGGAGAGGGCUACGGCAGGUCAGUAUGGCCUGAAUUUAUGGGGAUACACGCGGCCUACAAUGCGUAGGACAACGGGAUGCAACGCCGUAAGGCGAAGCCAAUCUCUUAAACCUACGCCUAGUUCGGAUCGUGGGCUGCAACUCGCCCACGUGAAGCCGGAAUCCCUAGUAAGCGAAGGUCAUCAUCUUUCGCUGAAUACGUCCCUGCUCCUUGCACACACCGCCCGUCAAACCAUCCGAGUGGACUUUUGGUGAAGCUCGCGCAGAGCGAUUUGAAUCACAAGUCUGCAAGGAGGGUU
RNAcentral lists this ribosomal RNA (1433 nucleotides) under uncultured archaeon SAGMA-B. Its description in RNAcentral is "bacterial SSU rRNA". It matches the Rfam family "Archaeal small subunit ribosomal RNA". The record is from RNAcentral.